RNAcentral lists this ribosomal RNA (278 nucleotides) under uncultured Staphylococcus sp. Its description in RNAcentral is "partial 16S ribosomal RNA". It matches the Rfam family "Bacterial small subunit ribosomal RNA", at positions 84 to 355 of the family's 1533-position model. The record is from RNAcentral. Lineage: Bacteria; Bacillati; Bacillota; Bacilli; Caryophanales; Staphylococcaceae.
UUCUUACGUUAGCGGCGGACGGGUGAGUAACACGUGGGUAACCUACCUAUAAGACUGGGAUAACUUCGGGAAACCGGAGCUAAUACCGGAUAAUAUUUCGAACCGCAUGGUUCGAUAGUGAAAGGUGGUUUUGCUAUCACUUAUAGAUGGACCCGCGCCGUAUUAGCUAGUUGGUAAGGUAACGGCUUACCAAGGCGACGAUACGUAGCCGACCUGAGAGGGUGAUCGGCCACACUGGAACUGAGACACGGUCCAGACUCCUACGGGAGGCAGCAGCA